UAUAGUUCAAUUUAACUACAAAAACUGCCACUGACAGCUCUCUCUCCCUCCCGUUACCCAAGCCUUCUGAACCCUUACCUAUUCGGACUCUCGACCCUUAAAAAAAAAUCUCUCUCUGUGAGAUCGGAGCCAACCAUGUCCGACGAGGAGCACCACUUCGAGUCUAAGGUCGACGCCGGAGCCUCCAAGACCUCUCCUCAGCAUUUCGUAGUUUGAUUGAAUUAAUGGGACGAGAGGGAUUCGAUUCCCUCCAAACGGUGCAUUUCUUCAGCUCCAAUAUCUCUCUUUCUCAGAUCUGAAUUCCUCGAUUCUCUUAUACCGCUCAUCUUCGUCGCUGAUCAUCUUCUCUAUUAUUGUUUUUCUUUUGUCUUAAUUAACUUUCCUGAAAUCGUUUUCAGUAACUCAAAUUCAAAGAUCAAAGCAGCAACGAAGGAAUUGGGUUGCUAUCGUUCACUGUGAGCCAUGAAUGCUCGAAGAUUAGCUCGUUAUAAAUCCGAUUGAUUUCGUCUUUAAUAAUUUUCUGCUUUUAGUUCCUGAACAUUAUCAGUUAUGUAUCUGCUUGAUCUUGCUGUUACCGAAAUAGUAAUUUCAUGUUUUUGAUUUGUGCAUAAAGUAGUGAUUGUGUAGGAAGUGCUAAUUGAAUGAUGAACAAACAGAAUUCGGAUUCUUCGUCUUACCGCAGUUAAUGAUUAAGCUUAUGUCUAAGAAUUUUGAGCUAUUAGAGAAUAGUGAGAUAUGUAUCUGCAGUUUCUGUGUGAUACUCGGUUCUCUGUUUGUUUCAAUUAGCAACAUUUGUCAUAGGGAAGGUUUAAUCUACUUAGCUUGGCCUCUGUUCCUUGUCUCGUUGGACUUGGUGUUCCAAUUCUUUAGAUUUCUACAACUAGUGUUCCUUCUGUAGAUACAAUUGGUGUUCCAAGCGAAUGCUUACUGUUGACAAAUAUGUUUGAUCCCAAAGAAAUUGAGGUUUGUGGUGGACGCCCUCAAUAAAAAUUCAUCAUUUUGAUUCCAUGAGUGGUGUAUUAUAUAAUUAUUGGUUCCCUUUUUGAGUGGGCUGAACCAGAUAUUGACAUGGACAUUAAAGAAGAUGUUCAGGAGGAAUAUUCAAAAUACGGGAAGCUGAAACAUAUCUUUGUUGACAAGUAAGUUUUGUUUGCAUUAGUGCUUGUGUCCUUUUUUCAGUUUUAGAGAUCUAUGUCUACUCUUGUUACACGUUUAAUGAGCAGGAAUACAGCUGGUUUUGUGUACUUGAGAGAUUUGAGAACACAUAAGUUGCAAUAAAUGCUCGACAAGUUCUCCAUGGAAGAUGGUUUGCUGGAAGAUGAUCAUAGCGACUUUCAUGUUGCCUCAUAUCUGUGAGACUAAAUUCCCUGAAAGCCGAUAGGAUUAUGCACAUUAGGAAUGUGAAGAAGGCAGCUGGUAUGCCUGUUAGGUCCAAUUUCCAGAUGAUGGAGUAUUUAAUUGUCCUCGUGGCUUUGUGUAACAAGAAAGAAUGUAAUGUUGAGAUGAGAAAGUUGCAUGUACAUCACUUGGAAUUUUUCAGUCAAUGCAAUGUGAAAUUAUAGAUACUGUUUAUAGACUAAUUUUUCAGUAA
This is a long non-coding RNA of Rosa chinensis, 1591 nucleotides long. RefSeq lists it as uncharacterized. The record is from RefSeq and is a predicted model, not a curated record. Lineage: Eukaryota; Viridiplantae; Streptophyta; Magnoliopsida; Rosales; Rosaceae. The transcript is spliced from 2 exons.